AGACGGCUGAGUUAUGUUUUCCCGGCUGAGUUAAUGAAUACCGACUGGCUGAGUUAUAUAAUUUACGGCUGACUAAUGUGAUGUUGUUACGGCUGAGUUUAUGAUAAGUCGGCCGUAAUAGGAUGGAUUAACAGUAAACUCAGCUCGGUUACAGCUACUUAUUAGCGAAAUAUUAAUUACUAGAAAAUCAUUCGUUUGAUGGCUGAUCUAUGUGACGAUACGGCUGAUUU
This 230-nucleotide long non-coding RNA is filed under the name Brassica napus (rape). RNAcentral's name for it is "long non-coding RNA (BNAP_LNC004858)". Lineage: Eukaryota; Viridiplantae; Streptophyta; Magnoliopsida; Brassicales; Brassicaceae. The record is from RNAcentral.